UUUAUGGAGAGUUUGAUCCUGGCUCAGAGUGAACGCUGGCGGCGUGCCUAAUACAUGCAAGUCGAACGAUGAAGCUUCUAGCUUGCUAGAAUGCUGAUUAGUGGCGCACGGGUGAGUAACGCAUAGGUUAUGUGCCUCUUAGUUUGGGAUAGCCAUUGGAAACGAUGAUUAAUACCAGAUACUCCCUACGGGGGAAAGAUUUAUCGCUAAGAGAUCAGCCUAUGUCCUAUCAGCUUGUUGGUAAGGUAAUGGCUUACCAAGGCUAUGACGGGUAUCCGGCCUGAGAGGGUGAACGGACACACUGGAACUGAGACACGGUCCAGACUCCUACGGGAGGCAGCAGUAGGGAAUAUUGCUCAAUGGGGGAAACCCUGAAGCAGCAACGCCGCGUGGAGGAUGAAGGUUUUAGGAUUGUAAACUCCUUUUGUUAGAGAAGAUAAUGACGGUAUCUAACGAAUAAGCACCGGCUAACUCCGUGCCAGCAGCCGCGGUAAUACGGAGGGUGCAAGCGUUACUCGGAAUCACUGGGCGUAAAGAGCGCGUAGGCGGGAUAGUCAGUCAGGUGUGAAAUCCUAUGGCUUAACCAUAGAACUGCAUUUGAAACUACUAUUCUAGAGUGUGGGAGAGGUAGGUGGAAUUCUUGGUGUAGGGGUAAAAUCCGUAGAGAUCAAGAGGAAUACUCAUUGCGAAGGCGACCUGCUGGAACAUUACUGACGCUGAUUGCGCGAAAGCGUGGGGAGCAAACAGGAUUAGAUACCCUGGUAGUCCACGCCCUAAACGAUGGAUGCUAGUUGUUGGAGGGCUUAGUCUCUCCAGUAAUGCAGCUAACGCAUUAAGCAUCCCGCCUGGGGAGUACGGUCGCAAGAUUAAAACUCAAAGGAAUAGACGGGGACCCGCACAAGCGGUGGAGCAUGUGGUUUAAUUCGAAGAUACACGAAGAACCUUACCUAGGCUUGACAUUGAGAGAAUCCGCUAGAAAUAGUGGAGUGUCUGGCUUGCCAGACCUUGAAAACAGGUGCUGCACGGCUGUCGUCAGCUCGUGUCGUGAGAUGUUGGGUUAAGUCCCGCAACGAGCGCAACCCCCUUUCUUAGUUGCUAACAGGUCAUGCUGAGAACUCUAAGGAUACUGCCUCCGUAAGGAGGAGGAAGGUGGGGACGACGUCAAGUCAUCAUGGCCCUUACGCCUAGGGCUACACACGUGCUACAAUGGGGUGCACAAAGAGAAGCAAUACUGCGAAGUGGAGCCAAUCUUCAAAACAUCUCUCAGUUCGGAUUGUAGGCUGCAACUCGCCUGCAUGAAGCUGGAAUCGCUAGUAAUCGCAAAUCAGCCAUGUUGCGGUGAAUACGUUCCCGGGUCUUGUACUCACCGCCCGUCACACCAUGGGAGUUGUGUUUGCCUUAAGUCAGGAUGCUAAACUAGCUACUGCCCACGGCACACACAGCGACUGGGGUGAAGUCGUAACAAGGUAACCGUAGGUGAACCUGCGGUUGGAUCACCUCCUUUCUAGA
RNAcentral lists this ribosomal RNA (1509 nucleotides) under Helicobacter pylori. RNAcentral describes it as "bacterial SSU rRNA". It matches the Rfam family "Bacterial small subunit ribosomal RNA". The record is from RNAcentral. Lineage: Bacteria; Pseudomonadati; Campylobacterota; Epsilonproteobacteria; Campylobacterales; Helicobacteraceae.